RNAcentral lists this ribosomal RNA (468 nucleotides) under uncultured bacterium. Its description in RNAcentral is "partial 16S ribosomal RNA". It matches the Rfam family "Bacterial small subunit ribosomal RNA", at positions 28 to 507 of the family's 1533-position model. The record is from RNAcentral.
GACUAACGCUGGCGGCGUGCUUAACACAUGUAAGCCUAACGGAAAGGCUCUGCUUUUGUGGGGUUCUCGAGUGGCGAACGGGUGAGUAACACGUGAGUAACCCGGUCUUGACUUUGGGAUAACCUCUGGUAACUGAGGCUAAUUCCGCAUACGGGCACCUGCUGCAUGGUGGGGGUUACCAAGUCUCGGCGGUCGUUGUUGUACUGGCUGCUUAUCAGUUUUUUGGUGGGGUAGUGGCUGACCAACGCUUGGACGGGUAGCCGGCCAGAGAGAGUCACCGGCCACAUUGAGACUGAGAUAAGGCCCAGACUCCUACGGGAGGCAUCAGUGGGGAAUAUUGCACAAUGGGCGGAAGCCUGAUGCAGCAACGCCGCGUGCGAGAUAACGGCCGUCGGGUUGUAAACCGCUUUCGCCUGUGACGAAGCGUGAGUGACGGUAAUGGGUAAAGAAGCACCGGCUAACUACGUG